GUUUGCCCCAAACGCUCCCGUGCAGCACCACGGGAAGCUCUGCCCUUCCUUGGGAAGCUCCCAAACCCCGAGUCCCCCGCACUACUCAGGGUGACAGUUGCACUAGAGGCACAGCUCACCAGGCUGCCACCAAAGCCACGCGUUGGGAGUCUUGCGCUGCAACACACACGAUCCCGCUGUCAAAACCCAAAGAAAUGAUGCAGCCGUGCUCUGGGUGGACUGUGCUGACGUCCUCGGCCUCACUUCCAGCGCUUGUUUGUGUGGAUCAGAUGCAGCUUCAUCAAAGCAAACUGCGAUGCUGACAGCGAUGGGAUCAGCGCCCGGGUUCUGCUCAGGACCCUCCUCUACCAGCAGCGACGCUGAACGUCGCAAACAGGUCUCCUACAGCAGGGUGCAUGGAGUUACACCCGCUUAAUCCAAGACUAGUUGACCCUUUCGGUCCCUCUGCUUCAUUCCAAGGUGUGGGGACACCCCCAGGCUGUGGUACAGGAGUGACGAGCCCGUCACGGAGCGUCUGGUGACACACAGCAACAGGCAAGAGGGUUCAGUGCAGCCCGACGUGAUAGCGCUUUGUCUCAGCUUCCAGAAGUACCGUGUGGAAAUAUUUAGCACGAUGAUUUUGCAUCUCUCUUCUGACUUUUGGGUUGUUCCUUAAAUACACGUGGGUUUAAUGGGUAAGCAAAGGUGGUGGGUGUGAGGGCAGCGUGGCACCAGGAGAGCGAGUCGGGGCUCGGUGCUGAGAGCUCUGGCUAGACCGGAGAGUGAGAUUUUCAGAGCCUGAACAGAUGCAUUUUGCAGAAAAGCCGCUGUAAUGACGAACAGCCCUGUUUCUGCCUGUGCUGGGUUACUGACCUGGAUUUCUGGCGGGUGAAGUCAGGUCCCCAAACUCAUUUGCCAUUUCUCCGCGGGGCUCACGCCUGGUUUUCUGCCCACUUGGACCGCGGGCGUUAUCCGAUCACUUUGCGGGGACGUGGAGCCCGACGCCGUCCUUAAGCGCUCCUGCCUGGUCCUGGACUGCACUGCCGCCACCUGCUAAACCCAGCAGGGAGGCUGGCGGGCAGCCUGAGGCAAAGCCAUAUUAUCAUUUUUCUCCUCCUUUUCCCUUCUUUUUCCCUCUCCAAGGGCAAGAGCGGGUGGUCUGUGCCUCUGCCCUACAGAGGGAAGCCUGGUAGGAGAAGGGGGGGCAGGAUCAUAAGACCAUGAUGGAAGAGGUCUGAUUUUUGCAGCCGCUUUUCACAGAAUCCCAGAAUGUCAGGGACUGGAAGGGCCCUGGCAAGCUCAUCCAGUGCAAUCCCCCCAUGGAGCAGGAACACCCAGAUGAGGUUACACAGGAAGGUGUCCAGGCGGGUUGGAAUGUCUGCACAGAAGGAGACUCCACAACCUCCCUGGGCAGCCUGGGCCAGGCUCUGCCACCCUCACCGGGAACAAGUUGCUUCUCAAAUUUCAAUGGAACCUCCUGUGUUCCAGUUUGCACCCAUUGCCCCUUGUCCUAUCAUUGGUUGUCACUGAGAAGAGCCUGGCUCCAUCCUCCUGACACUCCCCCUUUCCAUAUUGAUCCCCAUGAAUGAGUCCCCCCUCAGUCUCCUCUUGUCCAGCUCCAGAGCCCCAGCUCCCUCAGCCUUUCCUCACACGGGAGAUGCUCCACUCCCUUCAGCAUCUUGGUGGCUGCGCUGGACUCUCUCCAGCAGUUCCCUGUCCUGCUGGAACUGAGGGGCCACAGCUGGACACAAGAUUCCAGGUGUGGUCUCCCCAGGGCAGAGCAGAGGGGCAGGAGAACCUCUCUGACCUACUGACCACCCCCUUCUAACCCACCCCAGGUACCAUUGGCCUUCCUGGCCACAAGGGCCCAGUGCUGGCUCAUGGUCACCCUGCUGUCCCCAGGAUCCCCAGGUCCCUUUCCCCUACACUGCUCUCUAAUAGGUCAUUCCCCAACUUAUACUGGAACCUGGGGUUGUUCCUGCCCAGAUUCAAGACUCUGCACUUGCCCUCGUUCUAUUUCAUUAAAUUUUCCCCGCCCAGCUCUCCAGCCUGUCCAGGUCUCUGGAUGGCAGCACAGCUUCCAGUGUCACCACUCCUCCCAGUUCGGUGUCACCAGCAAACUUGCUGACAGUGCACUCUAGUCCCUCAUACAACCAUUGAUGAAUAUAUUGAAUAAUACCGGCCCCAGCACUGCCCCUGAGGCACUGCACUAGAUGCAGGCAUCAACUGGACUCUGCCCCAUUGACCACGACUCUCUGGCUUCUUCCCUUCAGUCAGUUCACAGUCACCUCACUACCCGAUCAUCCAGGUCACAUUAUGCUUCUUCUCUGGACAGCAAGUCUGAAUGGUUCGCUACAGCUCGGAGAACAAAUCAGUUACAGAAAACAGCACAAGCAUUUGUUCUGUGGGACGGAGUACAGAGUGUCUGCUUCUAAAACGUGUGCCCGAGAGAGGCACUGGCAAACACAGAGUGCUCGCUCAUCUGUUGCACUGCUUCAAGCAAUUAGUGCAAUGUAAGGCUAACAUCUUCCAUGUGUGGAGAACGAGAGGGUGCAGGUUUGUGAUCUGGGCAGCUCAGAGCCCGAAAAUCACUCAAAUUAAAGCAAAAGGCUGGGCUGAGGGGACAUGGGGGAUCCCCGCAGCUGGCACCCAACCUACACCCUCUGUCUCCUCCAUAUCCCUGCAUCCCACCUCCUCCCAACGCAUUGUACAUCACCUGGGCAUCCUGCUUUGAAACAGAAACUGCCCAGAAGGGCACUGGACCACGCACAUCCCCGUCCACACCGGGGUGGUGACGGUCCCCAGCAAGAUGUGGGAUCUCGUGUUCAGCCUCACGCCAUCUCUGUCGCAAGCAAACGAACACGAGUGUUGUUUUCCGGUACGGUGCACCCCGGCCGGCGGCUCCUUCGUGAUUUAUUGGCAGGAAGGCAAGCAGACAAAAUACAACUUCUGAAUUCCCAGAGAGGCAAAGAAUCAUAAAUGCUAAUGAAACUGAGAUAAUGGAGCAGAAAAUAACAGUAGGGAAUGAGUCAAUAUUUAAUAAAGCUUAUAUCUGAGUGUAAAGCAGCACUUUCUGAACUGGGAUGGAGGCAGAAGCUGGGUUAGACGUGUAUCUCUGUGCUUACCCAUCACCUUGAACUGGCUGUAAAACUCAUUAAAAUAAGCCUCAGAAUAUUUUUUGAAGACAGAGGCAUUUUCUAACCUUUGUGGACUGUUGUUAUUAAUUGCAAAUAGAUUUUUCUCUCUUUUUCCUUUUUCUCUCCAGUGUGUGCAAUGGAGGGGCUGCAGUUCUGUGGCUCCUCAGCCCCCGGCUGGCUCGUAGCUCCACGCGGCAGCCGAGGGACAAUGACAAUGAUGAUGACAAUGACAAUGCCGGCCAUUGUCCCUGCAGCAGCAAAGCUCGGUGUG
Columba livia (rock pigeon) is the source of this 3387-nucleotide long non-coding RNA. RefSeq lists it as uncharacterized. The record is from RefSeq and is a predicted model, not a curated record. The transcript is spliced from 3 exons. Lineage: Eukaryota; Metazoa; Chordata; Aves; Columbiformes; Columbidae.